AAGGCAAAGUGCGCACGCGCAAAUUGCACUCGGGCGAUGACGCGGGACUGAGCCAGGGUGCCCGCGGCACACGUGAUCUGUUGAAGGGAGCAGAUGCAGCCUGCUCCCGACAGCAGGUCGGCGCCCGGUGCGGCGGCCGCCGGCGUUAAGCGACGCCGCCCGGCCGCGCGGCUGGCCCGCGCUACUGUCGCCGACUCGCCACCAUACGCGAGCCGCGCUCAGAACACGCGCUUAGUUUAGUUGUGUUAGUAUGAUUUUAGUUUACGCUGUCGUAGACUGCCGAUCACGCGGCCAGCCACGUUGGAAGUCAAGCCGCGGGCAGUUUACGAACAGUAUAAACUUCAUUACUAUAUUGUAGUAUUAAGAAAAAAUGGACUAUGUAUCUUAUUAAUAUUGUAGCAAGUAACAUAUUGAAGACAUAUCCGUCAGACGAGAGCCACGAACCGCGGGCUGUCACUAGGCUAUUUACUUUGUUAAACUCGUUUGCUAAUGUUUGUGAACCAGAUGGAGACGUUAACUUUACUUUUCCGUUACUAAAUUAGAAUAGUUUGUGUAAGCGUUUUAGCUAUUCUUGUGGGAGUUAAGACAUAAGUUAGCUUUGCGAUAAUAAAAUAAGAUUCUACUUUUGACAAGUUGUAUUUAUUUAAGCUAUAGUUUUUUGUUUUUGUGUAAAAUAUUUCUUACAGUCAGUUAAGUCCAGGUUAAACGAGCGAAACCGAUAGUUAAGUUAUGAUUAGUGUUUUUGUUACAAGUGCAACUUAGGUGUAAGUUAAAUUUAGUGCGUGCCUUUCGUAGAGUAGGACUUGUUUUAUUUCACAUUUGUUUUGUAAUCUUAAGCAAAUUUUUUUUAUAUACUUUAUUUUUUGGCCAACGACUUUAUUAUAUAUUUUUUUUCAUA
Nymphalis io (European peacock) is the source of this 898-nucleotide long non-coding RNA. RefSeq lists it as uncharacterized. The transcript is spliced from 5 exons. The record is from RefSeq and is a predicted model, not a curated record. Lineage: Eukaryota; Metazoa; Arthropoda; Insecta; Lepidoptera; Nymphalidae.